RNAcentral lists this ribosomal RNA (465 nucleotides) under uncultured bacterium. Its description in RNAcentral is "partial 16S ribosomal RNA". It matches the Rfam family "Bacterial small subunit ribosomal RNA", at positions 339 to 795 of the family's 1533-position model. The record is from RNAcentral.
CUACGGGGGGCUCCAGUGGGGAAUAUUGGACAAUGGGGGAAACCCUGAUCCAGCAAUGCCGCGUGUGUGAAGAAGGCCUGCGGGUUGUAAAGCACUUUCGGUUGGGAGGACUGCUUCUAGCACUAAUAUUGUUGGAAGUUGACGUUACCUUCAGAAGAAGCACCGGCUAACUCCGUGCCGGCAGCCGGGGUAAUACGGAGGGUGCAAGCGUUAAUCGGAAUUACUGGGCGUAAAGCGCGCGUAGGCGGCUAGUUCAGUCGGGUGUGAAAGCCCCGGGCUUAACCUGGGAACUGCAUCCGAUACUGUCUAGCUUGAGUACAGGAGAGGAGAGUGGAAUUCCACAUGUAGCGGUGAAAUGCGUAGAUAUGUGGAGGAACACCAAUGGCGAAGGCAGCUCUCUGGCCUGAUACUGACGCUGAGGUGCGAAAGCGUGGGGAGCAAACAGGAUUAGAUACCCCGGUAGUC